AUUGAACGCUGGCGGCAGGCCUAACACAUGCAAGUCGAGCGGAUGAAGGGAGCUUGCUCCUGGAUUCAGCGGCGGACGGGUGAGUAAUGCCUAGGAAUCUGCCUGGCAGUGGGGGAUAACGUCCGGAAACGGGCGCUAAUACCGCAUACGUCCUGAGGGAGAAAGUGGGGGAUCUUCGGACCUCACGCUAUCAGAUGAGCCUAGGUCGGAUUAGCUAGUUGGUGGGGUAAAGGCCUACCAAGGCGACGAUCCGUAACUGGUCUGAGAGGAUGAUCAGUCACACUGGAACUGAGACACGGUCCAGACUCCUACGGGAGGCAGCAGUGGGGAAUAUUGCACAAUGGGCGAAAGCCUGAUCCAGCCAUGCCGCGUGUGUGAAGAAGGUCUUCGGAUUGUAAAGCACUUUAAGUUGGGAGGAAGGGCAGUAAGUUAAUCCCUUGCUGUUUUGACGUUACCAACAGAAUAAGCACCGGCUAACUUCGUG
Molecule: ribosomal RNA, 484 nt
Filed under: uncultured bacterium
Lineage: Bacteria
Description: partial 16S ribosomal RNA
Rfam family: Bacterial small subunit ribosomal RNA
Source: RNAcentral